GAUGAACGCUGGCGGCGUGCCUAAUACAUGCAAGUCGAGCGAACAGACGAGGAGCUUGCUCCUCUGACGUUAGCGGCGGACGGGUGAGUAACACGUGGAUAACCUACCUAUAAGACUGGGAUAACUUCGGGAAACCGGAGCUAAUACCGGAUAAUAUAUUGAACCGCAUGGUUCAAUAGUGAAAGACGGUUUUGCUGUCACUUAUAGAUGGAUCCGCGCCGCAUUAGCUAGUUGGUAAGGUAACGGCUUACCAAGGCAACGAUGCGUAGCCGACCUGAGAGGGGGAUCGGCCACACUGGAACUGAGACACGGUCCAGACUCCUACGGGAGGCAGCAGUAGGGAAUCUUCCGCAAUGGGCGAAAGCCUGACGGAGCAACGCCGCGUGAGUGAUGAAGGUCUUCGGAUCGUAAAACUCUGUUAUUAGGGAAGAACAAAUGUGUAAGUAACUAUGCACGUCUGGACGGUACCUAAGCAGAAAGCCACGGCUAACUACGU
RNAcentral lists this ribosomal RNA (496 nucleotides) under uncultured bacterium. RNAcentral describes it as "partial 16S ribosomal RNA". It matches the Rfam family "Bacterial small subunit ribosomal RNA", at positions 28 to 506 of the family's 1533-position model. The record is from RNAcentral.